This 131-nucleotide ribosomal RNA is filed under the name uncultured archaeon. RNAcentral describes it as "partial 16S rRNA". It matches the Rfam family "Archaeal small subunit ribosomal RNA", at positions 322 to 455 of the family's 1478-position model. The record is from RNAcentral.
CCUACGGGGCGCAGCAGGCGCGAAACUUCCCCAAUGCGCGAAAGCGUGACGGGGGUAAUCCGAGUGCCCGGCUAACGUCCGGCUUUUAGCGGGUCUGAAUAACCCGUUGAAUAAGUGGUGGGUAAAUCCUG